AUUGAACGCUGGCGGCAGGCCUAACACAUGCAAGUCGAGCGGAUGAAGGGAGCUUGCUCCUGGAUUCAGCGGCGGACGGGUGAGUAAUGCCUAGGAAUCUGCCUGGUAGUGGGGGAUAACGUCCGGAAACGGGCGCUAAUACCGCAUACGUCCUGAGGGAGAAAGUGGGGGAUCUUCGGACCUCACGCUAUCAGAUGAGCCUAGGUCGGAUUAGCUAGUUGGUGGGGUAAAGGCCUACCAAGGCGACGAUCCGUAACUGGUCUGAGAGGAUGAUCAGUCACACUGGAACUGAGACAGGGUCCAGACUCCUACGGGAGGCAGCAGUGGGGAAUAUUGGACAGUGGGCGAAAGCCUGAUCCAGCCAUGCCGCGUGUGUGAAGAAGGUCUUCGGAGUGUAAAGCACUUUAAGUUGGGAGGAAGGGCAGUAAGUUAAUACCUUGCUGUUUUGACGUUACCAACAGAAUAAGCACCGGCUAACUUCGUG
Molecule: ribosomal RNA, 484 nt
Filed under: uncultured bacterium
Lineage: Bacteria
Description: partial 16S ribosomal RNA
Rfam family: Bacterial small subunit ribosomal RNA
Source: RNAcentral